AGUGAACGCUGGCGGUAGGCCUAACACAUGCAAGUCGAACGGCAGCACAGAGGAGCUUGCUCCUUGGGUGGCGAGUGGCGGACGGGUGAGGAAUACAUCGGAAUCUACUCUGUCGUGGGGGAUAACGUAGGGAAACUUACGCUAAUACCGCAUACGACCUACGGGUGAAAGCAGGGGACCUUCGGGCCUUGCGCGAUUGAAUGAGCCGAUGUCGGAUUAGCUAGUUGGCGGGGUAAAGGCCCACCAAGGCGACGAUCCGUAGCUGGUCUGAGAGGAUGAUCAGCCACACUGGAACUGAGACACGGUCCAGACUCCUACGGGAGGCAACAGGGGGGAAUAUUGGACAAUGGGCGCAAGCCUGAUCCAGCCAUACCGCGCGGGUGAAGAAGGCCUUCGGGUUGUAAAGCCCUUUUGUUGGGAAAGAAAUCCAGCUGGCUAAUACCCGGUUGGGAUGACGGUACCCAAAGAAUAAGCACCGGCUAACUUCGUGCCAGCCGCCGCCGUAA
This 506-nucleotide ribosomal RNA is filed under the name uncultured bacterium. RNAcentral describes it as "partial 16S ribosomal RNA". It matches the Rfam family "Bacterial small subunit ribosomal RNA", at positions 29 to 523 of the family's 1533-position model. The record is from RNAcentral.